Molecule: non-coding RNA, 75 nt
Organism: Haemonchus contortus (barber pole worm)
Lineage: Eukaryota; Metazoa; Nematoda; Chromadorea; Rhabditida; Trichostrongylidae
Source: Rfam
GGCACAAACUUGAAGUAGAGUAGAUCGGUACGGUCAGCUUAUCCUACUAAACUACUUUACUGCGAAUUUGAGCCU